Long non-coding RNA from Chrysemys picta bellii (western painted turtle), 971 nucleotides. RefSeq lists it as uncharacterized. The record is from RefSeq and is a predicted model, not a curated record. Lineage: Eukaryota; Metazoa; Chordata; Testudines; Emydidae.
CGGAGGUCCCGGAGGUCCUGGGAUCCCAGUUUCUCCUGGAAGUCCUCUUGGUCCUGGAGGUCCCAGAAGCCCUGCAAAGAAAUAGAAGAGGAGAUUUCUGACAAGUUGGAGACACAUUAGCAGAUGUACUGGGGCAAAGAAAAUGACUCGGAACUGUUCCAUUCCAGACGUGAACUUCGGUGGAACUCCAUCAGCUCCGCUAAUAAUGCAAUGGUACAGGGCCCUAGAUGCCUGCCUUUCGCUGUGUUCUGCAUACCCUCCUAAAACUGUUCUCCUUGAUUAAAUGUGUUCCUUUAACAUAGCACCUCUAACAAGCAUCAGAGCAGUUAGUUCAUGUAGAGAUCGCAUCAUUUCCCCCCAUGCUGAAAUGCAGCAUUAUCCAACAGUUUUGUAAGGGAAGUACUAGGAUAAAUGCUGAUUCAGGAAAGCACUUAAGCACGUACUUAAAUCACAAGUCAAUGGGACUUGUGUGUGUUUAAGUGUGUUUUUUUCCUAAACUGAGACCAUAGUUCCUUCAAAACUGGAACAAGAAAAUAAUUGGAUGGAAGAAAAAAUGCAUCAGGCCCACUGAACUAAAUUCACCCCAGAGCUAAUGUAACUGCAGGCUUUGGAGUUAAAUUAGGGGUCAGUGUGGCCUCGUUUCUUGAUGGUGGUUUCCUGCCUCCCUCUUCAUCAACCUAGUGUUCAGAAAGCAAGACACCAGGCCCUGUGAAUAAUGACCUUGAAGUCAAGGAGGGAGUUCGGCUAGUUCGCGCCAGCAGAGAUUCAGUUCCUUCGCACUUAACCUAGCUCCCAGUUUAAUUAGUCUCUGCUGUGCCCUUGUCAGACUAAUGUGUUCCACAGAACGUUUGUCAUUUCUGGCUUUGUCGCAUUAUUGGCUCCCGCCAUGCAUUGUACUACAUAAAUUACACACUUCAUCCUUUUUGUAAGUUUAACAAAAAAAAAAAGCAUCAUUCUCCUUUAUAAUUACA